This 92-nucleotide transfer RNA is filed under the name Chloroflexota bacterium. Its description in RNAcentral is "tRNA-Ser". It matches the Rfam family "tRNA". Rfam says of the family: Transfer RNA (tRNA) molecules are approximately 80 nucleotides in length. Their secondary structure includes four short double-helical elements and three loops (D, anti-codon, and T loops). Further hydrogen bonds mediate the characteristic L-shaped molecular structure. tRNAs have two regions of fundamental functional importance: the anti-codon, which is responsible for specific mRNA codon recognition, and the 3' end, to which the tRNAs corresponding amino acid is attached (by aminoacyl-tRNA synthetases). tRNAs cope with the degeneracy of the genetic code in two manners: having more than one tRNA (with a specific anti-codon) for a particular amino acid; and 'wobble' base-pairing, i.e. permitting non-standard base-pairing at the 3rd anti-codon position. Lineage: Bacteria; Bacillati; Chloroflexota. The record is from RNAcentral. RNAcentral also lists the same sequence under 1 other name.
GGAGAGAUGGCUGAGUGGUUGAAGGCGGCGGUCUCGAAAACCGUUGUAGGGCGUAAGCUCUACCGUGGGUUCAAAUCCCACUCUCUCCGCCA